This 874-nucleotide long non-coding RNA is filed under the name Pan troglodytes (chimpanzee). RNAcentral's name for it is "long non-coding RNA NONPTRT011390". The record is from RNAcentral. Lineage: Eukaryota; Metazoa; Chordata; Mammalia; Primates; Hominidae.
GGGCAGGCGUCCUGGUUGUGACGCACGCCACCGCGGGCGUGCGCGUCCCCGCUUAGCACCGACCCUCAGUGCGCUUGCGCCACUAGAUGACCCGCCCCCUCGGGCUGUCGGGGGGUCGAGGCAGUGGAGGGUUCGUGAUGCCAGCUCACGGAGGGAAUCCAGGGAAUUAGCUGAUGCCAAGAGCCUCUUUUUGGCCAGCACUUACUAAGCACCAGAGACACAGCGAGAAGCAGAAGCAUACGAGCACAUCAGCGUGAUUCUGCUGUGAUGAAGGGCAAGAGAGGGCUCACUUUCCGGGGUGACAUUCAAGCUAGCCCCGAGGCCUGAGCAGGACCCGCCCAGGGGAAGAUCUGGAGGAAAGCCAUCUGAACAUACAACAAGAGCAAAGGCCUGGUGGAGUCAGGACCACCUUGGCUGCCAGGUGGAAUGGUGGAAUAACUCAGGAGUCUGUCAGGUCUCUGAGAUGUCAAACGGGGAAGGCCUUGUAGGAAGUAGGCGUUUGAAUGAGAUCAUAAUUUGAGAGCCACAGACAGAAAAAUAAAUUUGAAAGAGUUCACUCAGCCAAAUGUGUACAGUGAGAAAGGGAAAUAAGGCCAAAAGCAGCAAAGACCUCUGUGCCUGUUCCUCCUGGAGCACUUUCACCAGGGUCCCCAGAUCUAGGUCUGCCCGUUCCUCUCCCCACAUUCUACACUGGGCCCUAGGUCAACACUGCUUGAUGAAGUUGAGCAGACCACAGGCAUUGUUAUCCUUUGCCCCUGGGAAGAUGGUAUAGGUGAACUGUAGAGGCCAGACUAUUUCCCAAAUUGCCCUCCUCCUCCUACCAAACUGGAAGGGUAUUGAAAAAGGUGGAGACCUUCCUGGGAUGUCCAGUCUA